This 355-nucleotide transfer-messenger RNA is filed under the name Stagnimonas sp. It matches the Rfam family "transfer-messenger RNA". From Rfam's summary of the family: Bacterial tmRNA, also known as 10Sa RNA or SsrA, is named for its dual tRNA and mRNA-like properties. Its role is to liberate the mRNA from a stalled ribosome. Lineage: Bacteria; Pseudomonadati; Pseudomonadota; Gammaproteobacteria; Nevskiales; Nevskiaceae. The record is from RNAcentral.
GGGGGUGACAUGGUUUCGACAGCGGUAUUGAAACCCGACGUGCAUGCCGAGCUGUAGAUCUGCUCGUUAAACGGUCUACAAACAAGCUAGUUGCGAACGACGCUAACUACGCCCUCGCCGCUUAAUCCCGGCGAGCGGAUGCCCCUCUAGUGCUGGUGAUGGGGGGUGCAUCCGUCGACUCUCACCAGACCGUCUUCACGUUCGCUCUUAACGUGAAGAUCAAAACCCAAGGAGAUAAGUGCAGGCGUUCCGUGCUCAACCGGCAACCUGCAUCGAAAACCAAAGUUGGGAUAAGCAUGUAGAUCGGAAGGCGGAGAAUCGUUGGACGCGGGUUCAAUUCCCGCCACCUCCACCA